RNAcentral lists this ribosomal RNA (349 nucleotides) under uncultured bacterium. RNAcentral's name for it is "partial 16S ribosomal RNA". It matches the Rfam family "Bacterial small subunit ribosomal RNA", at positions 338 to 684 of the family's 1533-position model. The record is from RNAcentral.
CCUACGGGUGGCAGCAGUGAGGAAUAGUGGUCAAUGGACGAGAGUCUGAACCAGUCAAGUAGCGUGAAGGAUGACUGCCCGAUGGGUUGUAAACUUCUGUUAUAGGGGAAUAAAAUGUUCCACGUGUGGGAUUUUGUAUGUACCAUAUGAAUAAGGAUCGGCUAACUCCGUGCCAGCAGCCGCGGUAAUACGGAGGAUCCGAGCGUUAUCCGGAUUUAUUGGGGUUAAAGGGAGCGUAGGUGGAUUGGUAAGUCAGUUGUGAAAGUUUGCGGCUCAACCGUAAAAUUUCAGUUGAAACUGGCAGUCUUUCGUACAGUCGAUUUGGGCGGCUUUCGUUGUGUAGCGGUUA